RNAcentral lists this ribosomal RNA (372 nucleotides) under uncultured bacterium. Its description in RNAcentral is "bacterial SSU rRNA". It matches the Rfam family "Bacterial small subunit ribosomal RNA", at positions 30 to 412 of the family's 1533-position model. The record is from RNAcentral.
CCUGAACGCUGGCGGCGUGGCUAAGACAUGCAAGUCGCACGGUGUAGCAAUACACAGUGGCGAACGGGUGAGUAAUGAAUCGCUAAUGUACCCCGGACUCUGGGAUAGCUACCCGAAAGGGUAGGUAAUGCCAGAUGAGACCACGGCAUCGCAUGAUGUUGUGCUCAAAGGUCCGCCGGUCUGGGAGCAGGCGAUUUCGUAUCAGCUAGUUGGGAGGUAACGGCUCACCAAGGCGACGACGCGUAGCCGGACUGAGAGGUUGGCCGGCCACAUUGGGACUGAGACACUGCCCAGACUCCUACGGGGGGCUGCAGUAACGAAUCUUCCGCAAUGCACGAAAGUGUGACGGAGCGACGCCGCGUGUAGGACGAA